GACGAACGCUGGCGGCGUGCUUAACACAUGCAAGUCGAACGGUGAAGCUCCAGCUUGCUGGAGUGGAUCAGUAGCGAACGGGUGAGUAACACGUGAGCAACCUGCCCCUGACUCCGGAAUAAGCGCUGGAAACGGCGUCUAAUACUGGAUACGAGAAGGGUCCGCAUGGGCACUUUCUGGAAAGUUUUUCGGUUGGGGAUGGGCUCGCGGCCUAUCAGCUUGUUGGUGAGGUAAUGGCUCACCAAGGCGACGACGGGUAGCCGGCCUGAGAGGGCGACCGGCCACACUGGGACUGAGACACGGCCCAGACUCCUACGGGAGGCAGCAGUGGGGAAUAUUGCACAAUGGGCGAAAGCCUGAUGCAGCGACGCCGCGUGAGGGAUGACGGCCUUCGGGUUGUAAACCUCUUUCAGCAGGGAAGAAGCGAAAGUGACGGUACCUGCAGAAGAAGCACCGGCUAACUACGUG
This 468-nucleotide ribosomal RNA is filed under the name uncultured bacterium. RNAcentral describes it as "partial 16S ribosomal RNA". It matches the Rfam family "Bacterial small subunit ribosomal RNA", at positions 28 to 507 of the family's 1533-position model. The record is from RNAcentral.